UGGCUAUCACUCUGGGAUGGACCUGCGGUGCAUUAGCUAGUUGGUAAGGUAACGGCUUACCAAGGCGAUGAUGCAUAGCCGAGUUGAGAGACUGAUCGGCCACAAUGGAACUGAGACACGGUCCAUACUCCUACGGGAGGCAGCAGUAGGGAAUCUUCCACAAUGGGCGCAAGCCUGAUGGAGCAACACCGCGUGAGUGAAGAAGGGUUUCGGCUCGUAAAGCUCUGUUGUUGGAGAAGAACGUGCGUGAGAGUAACUGUUCACGCAGUGACGGUAUCCAACCAGAAAGUCACGGCUAACUACGUGCCAGCAGCCGCGGUAAUACGUAGGUGGCAAGCGUUAUCCGGAUUUAUUGGGCGUAAAGCGAGCGCAGGCGGUUGCUUAGGUCUGAUGUGAAAGCCUUCGGCUUAACCGAAGAAGUGCAUCGGAAACCGGGCGACUUGAGUGCAGAAGAGGACAGUGGAACUCCAUGUGUAGCGGUGGAAUGCGUAGAUAUAUGGAAGAACACCAGUGGCGAAGGCGGCUGUCUGGUCUGCAACUGACGCUGAGGCUCGAAAGCAUGGGUAGCGAACAGGAUUAGAUACCCUGGUAGUCCAUGCCGU
Molecule: ribosomal RNA, 602 nt
Filed under: uncultured bacterium
Lineage: Bacteria
Description: bacterial SSU rRNA
Rfam family: Bacterial small subunit ribosomal RNA
Source: RNAcentral